UUGGGCUUAAUCAUAUCAAUUCCCCAUAUGGAGAAGGGCCAUCGAGAGGAAAUGACAUUCAAUAGUGUCGGAGGAAUAUGAAUCUUAUCUGCAUAAAUUUGACACUUGUGGAAUUUCUUCACAAACUUACAACAGUCAGAUUACAUUGUCAGCCAAUAGUAACAUGCUCUCAACAUUUUCUUUGCCAUAGCAUGUCCAUUAGAAUGAGUACUAAAGUAACCUUCAUGGACUUCAGUCAUCAACAAGUUUGCUUCGUGUCUAUCCACGCAUUUGAGCAAAAC
This 281-nucleotide long non-coding RNA is filed under the name Lathyrus oleraceus (garden pea). Its description in RNAcentral is "Pisum sativum (pea) long non-coding RNA (PSAT_LNC028018)". The record is from RNAcentral. Lineage: Eukaryota; Viridiplantae; Streptophyta; Magnoliopsida; Fabales; Fabaceae.